GACGAACGCUGGCGGCGUGCUUAACACAUGCAAGUCGAACGAAGUGGCGAACGGGUGAGUAAUACGUGGGUAACCUGCCCUCCUUGUUGGGAUAAGCCUUGGAAACGGGGGCUACUACCAAAUAAAGGGGGAUGGGGUCGCGGCCUAUCAGCUUGUUGGUGGGGUGAUGGCCUACCAAGGCGGUGACGGGUAGCCGGCCUGAGAGGGUACACGGCGACAGUGAGACGGACAAAAGGCCCACGCGCGGAAGGGGGGGGGAAGUGGGGGAUAUUGGACCAUGGGCGAAGGCCUGAUGCAGCGUGGCCGAAGGGGGGAUGAGGGCUGUCGAGUUGUAAAAGUCUGUAGCUAGGGAACCGGUAGGUGGAGAAGAAGCGCCGGCUAACUACGUGCCAGCAGCCGCGGUAAUAC
This 408-nucleotide ribosomal RNA is filed under the name uncultured bacterium. Its description in RNAcentral is "partial 16S ribosomal RNA". It matches the Rfam family "Bacterial small subunit ribosomal RNA", at positions 28 to 526 of the family's 1533-position model. The record is from RNAcentral.